Long non-coding RNA from Amphimedon queenslandica, 261 nucleotides. RefSeq lists it as uncharacterized. The record is from RefSeq and is a predicted model, not a curated record. The transcript is spliced from 3 exons. NCBI's taxonomy places the organism in Eukaryota, Metazoa, Porifera, Demospongiae, Haplosclerida, Niphatidae.
AUAUUAUCAAGAGUACAUGAUGGCCAUGUACUCUUGAUGUUAUUGUAUCAAUGCAGCUGGUGGCUAUUACUGUACUUGGGAAUCAGGUUACUCCUUGAAUACUGAUGGACACACUUGUGAAGAUAUUAAUGAGUGUGCGAUUAAUAAUGAAAGCUGUGAACAGCUGUGUAUCAAUAGCAAUGGGAGUUAUUGGUGCUCUUGUCUCAGUGGAUACACAUUGGACACUAACAGUAUGAACUGCACUGAUAUCAAUGAAUGUGA